This 1337-nucleotide long non-coding RNA is filed under the name Olea europaea (common olive). Its description in RNAcentral is "long non-coding RNA (OEUR_LNC002300)". The record is from RNAcentral. Lineage: Eukaryota; Viridiplantae; Streptophyta; Magnoliopsida; Lamiales; Oleaceae.
UAAGUCCCACUUUUCUUUCUCGUUUAUGGGAAUAAAUAUGAAAAUUUCAAGAGCCUUGGAAUUCGAGUUAGUGGAGUUUUCUACAUUCCCCACAAACAUGCCCUUAACCAGACUAGACUACAAUUUUAAAACUACACUAGCCCCCUCCCCCUUUCUUCUAUGUAUGUGUAUAAUCAAAAGGGUUUCAUAUUCAACCAAAAAGCUACACUCUUGCCUUUAUAAGGGACUCGUAAUGGCCCCUCCUCUCAUAUCUACAUUCACUUUUCUUUCUAUGGUCUCACUUUCUUGAUAGCUUAGCCAACUUCGGCCAGAUUUUCUCCAUCUCAUUGUUCCUCUGCCAUUUCAUAGUUUUCCUUUUUCCUGGUAGCAAUAUGAUUGGUUGCGACUCCUCUGGUGGUGGUGGUGGUGGAGGAGGAGGAGGAGGAAUAUGGUGGUGGCAGCCGUGGCGGAGGCGGAGGAAGGUAGAAAUGUAAAUAAGUCUGAAAGCCAACAACAAACAAAAGGCUUAGCAAUUUUGCUCUCCUUAAGUGCAAAACUUGGAGAGCAUUAUUGCUUUGCGGGGAAUUGAGGGUAGCGGUCCGAAUUUACCUUUUUAACCUUAGCUUGGUUCUGUUUUUACAUAUUUGUCCUUGGUUUGCUUUGUUGUUAUUAAUCAGAUAAAAGAUGGGAUGUAAGAGAUGCAUACCAGGUAAGCUUCAAGAAGGGUUAAGCAGUUAGUUAUUGGGGUUCUAGUUUGGGGUUGGGUUUGGAAUAUUUGUCAAAGGUUUGGGCAUUUAUGGAAAUGCCUUGUUUUGCUGCUGCUGGGCAUGCAUCCCUUACACCUAUAAUAUGUAUUUGCUUUGUCUUGAAUUAGAUAUAACAAAGUUGUAAUCCUGCUUUUUACUAUGUUAUCUCUUCUGCUUUUGCUUUAUUAUAUUGAUGAAAAGUCAUGUAAUUUGAGUGAAAAGACAUUAUUGGGUGUCUGUUAAUUUUACUUUGCUUUCUUUGUUUGGGAGACGAGCUAGUUUGAUAGGACUAUAUUAAAAAUCCUAAAAAUGUUUUAUUGUAAUAUAUAGGACAAAAGUAUAAAUCAUUACAGGACAGAAAAGUUGGCCAUAUUAUUCUCUACCCUUUUAUUUCUCCUACUAGUGGCUUUUGGUCUAAGCAUGGAAAGAUGCAACUACGUGAAUCAACAAAGAAAAUAAGGUUUACACUAUUUCCGUCGCUAACAAUUAAAGUAUCAACUUAUGAACGUAUAACCUCUUACUUGAGAGCAAAUCGAGAAAAGAUAAAAAUAAGUAAUCGAUAGACAACCGGCGAAACUUGAAGAUCUAGUCAAAUUGUAUAGUGGAUAAAGA